This 524-nucleotide ribosomal RNA is filed under the name uncultured bacterium. Its description in RNAcentral is "bacterial SSU rRNA". It matches the Rfam family "Bacterial small subunit ribosomal RNA", at positions 355 to 896 of the family's 1533-position model. The record is from RNAcentral.
UGGGGAAUAUUGGACAAUGGACCAAAAGUCUGAUCCAGCAAUUCUGUGUGCACGAUGACGUUUUUCGGAAUGUAAAGUGCUUUCAGUUGGGAAGAAAAAAAUGACGGUACCAACAGAAGAAGUGACGGCUAAAUACGUGCCAGCAGCCGCGGUAAUACGUAUGUCACAAGCGUUAUCCGGAUUUAUUGGGCGUAAAGCGCGUCUAGGUGGUUAUGUAAGUCUGAUGUGAAAAUGCAGGGCUCAACUCUGUAUUGCGUUGGAAACUGCAUGACUAGAGUACUGGAGAGGUAAGCGGAACUACAAGUGUAGAGGUGAAAUUCGUAGAUAUUUGUAGGAAUGCCGAUGGGGAAGCCAGCUUACUGGACAGAUACUGACGCUAAAGCGCGAAAGCGUGGGUAGCAAACAGGAUUAGAUACCCUGGUAGCCCACGCCGUAAACGAUGAUUACUAGGUGUUGGGGGUCGAACCUCAGCGCCCAAGCUAACGCGAUAAGUAAUCCGCCUGGGGAGUACGUACGCAAGUAUG